This 1108-nucleotide long non-coding RNA is filed under the name Capra hircus (goat). RNAcentral's name for it is "lncRNA (ENSCHIG00010013089.1)". Lineage: Eukaryota; Metazoa; Chordata; Mammalia; Artiodactyla; Bovidae. The record is from RNAcentral.
UAAGUCACCUUAAAUCCUUUCUUGGGAGCAGGUCAUAUAGGAAUUAAUGAAGUGAUUUAUUUUGAAGCAGAGGCAUAUUCCAUUGAAUCUCUUAAUUACAGCAGACCAAAAGCAACUCUCUCUUGGUCUGUACUUUUGGAAGUGUGUCUGUACUGUCAAUACUCAAGAGAUUUUGCAAUACUCCUUGAAAAAAAGUUUAAUAAAAGCAUCCCAGGUUAAAAAAAAAAAAAGGCAUCCUAGGUUCAGAACUUUGGAAAGCUUUCACGUUUUUUUUUUCUUUUCCUCACCUUAUUUCUCCAUAUGAUUUACACAGUCCUAAUAAUAAUUAGGACUAAUAUAAUAAUAAUAAUAAUUGUUAUCAAGUAUCAUGCCAGCUACCCGGAUGGUAAACUUUUAAUCAGACACGAAUAUGUUUAUGUAUGUGUGUGUGUGUAUCUAAUCACAGUUCUCCAAGGGCUUAAUAAAUAAGUGUUUAUCCCUUUUUUGGUCUUUUUGUUUCUUGACCAUGUUCUUUCCCCUCUGCCUACUGCUGUUUUCCAGUAAGCUAUUUAUAUCUUAACAUAUACCUUCAUGAAAAAAAUUAUGUAUUCAGGUAACUGAAGAUGGUUUGUAAAGACAGAAGGAGUUCAUGAUGGCGGUGUAUGUGGAUGGUAGUAGACAGUAAGGAUACAAGGAGUGGGUUGGUUGGUUUGUGGCAUCAUGCAGACAGGCGUGUAUACUUAAAAAAUCUGUUAGAGAGGAGAGGAGGAUACAGCCUGCAAUUUCAGCCUCCUGUUUUGAUCCUGAGGCUCUAAAAAAGAAUGUUGAUGAAUAAAACAUUUUAAUCAGAACCAUAUCAACACUGAUCAAUUUUUUUCCCCUGUGGGGGUCCAGUACAGGGUGAAUUCCAUUAAGUCAAUGAAACACCUCCAUUGAGUUUUUAAACAGUACAAAGAUAGUUCAGCAGUUGCUCUAAAACUUUUUUUUUUUAACUGAAAUCCUUUUCACCAGGACCUGUUUUGUUUCAUAUAUAUUUGUAAUGUUCAUUGAAACCAGAAAACUAUGUUACUCACUUGAUAAAAGACCAAUAGUCACGUCUUAGCUAGUACCUAAGAAAUUCUCCAGCAAA